CGAAAUUCUACAAAUUCCAACAAUUAGCAGGGGCCUAAUGUCCAUCCUCUAAGCCCACACAAGGGGGGUGCAUUCGCUGGUUAAGGAGUACAGAAGCACAUGAAGGGAACUUGGGCUUAUGGCCCAAACGAACCCUAAAACAAUGCAAGCGGACUAGAUCCACUCACACAAACGAAUUCUAUGUUCUCUCUCGCAAGCUCCACCAUCCCUUCAUCAUGAACAUCACUGAAACACACACACCAUGCCGGACUCCCUCACACCGGCAACGAGACCUUCCCACGACCACCGUCACCUCCAAAGAAACUACUCAUCUCCUUCCCUUAAAUCAUACCUCUACACCGGUCCGUCCUCACCGCCGAUGAAGUGAGGAGUUCGCCUAAUACAAAGAGGGACGCUACAUCGUUGCCGUAACGAAGUUGCGAACUAGAAGCAAAGUAAAAUGAAGGAAAUACGUACCUUAUUCGUGCACGCUUUUGAGAUGGCGAUGAAGAAGAGUCGUUGGACCGAUGCGAUGGAGACGACGGCAUUGACCUGGAAUUCCGGAUAGCACUUCCAGCAAGUCCAAUCUCCUUCCACUUUCUUCUGCUAUGUUAUGUUACGGUACGACUCCUUUGCUACGAUUUGCUCCUCAAUUCCAUGACACAGUGCUUGGUUCAAUUUGCAGAAAAUCCAAAGCCCCAAGAUGAUGAUGGUCGAGAUAUACGGAGGCGAGGAUGAAAAAGCGUGAGAGAGUCACGAAUUUGGAGAUUUUUGGAUGAGUUUCGGUUGCUGUAGGAUGCUGAAGGUUGUUGCAGAUGGAGGAGGCGAAUGGAGAGUUGAGUCCAAUUGGUGAAGAACUCAGAAAGAUAGAAGGUGAUGGAAAAAAAUGGAAUCCUAUUUUGGUUGAAGGAUGCUCCAAAAAAUCCUCCAGAGCUUGGUUGAAGGUGCGUAUUUAUAGGCCUUCCAUUAUUUUUCUCUUCUCUCCUUCUCCUGCUAUCUGUUUUCGUUCUGAGAUGAGAGUGAGGUUGAGAGUUUGCGGUGGCGAUGGUUAUUGAAAGCGGUUGAAGGUGAAGAUUGAAGCAUGGUGAAGGUGGUUCUUGAUUGUGAUUGUGAAGUUUGUUAGAGUUUGGAGGGAGGGAAGAAGAAGAAGAACCUGGAAAGGAAUUUGAGAGAGGGAAGAAGAAGAAGAAUUUGGAAAGGAAUUCUGAGAGAGGUGAAGAUUAGUGAAUUUAUAGAGUAAUGAGAGGGAGGUUAGAAGUUUGAUAGAAAAAAAUCUAUUAUUUUCAUUUUCAUUUUUUUAUGCAGAAAUUCGUUUUUUGGAAGCUUAUAGCUUUGGCUGUGUUGUGGAGGAUUUACGCAUUGGCUUGCAGCCGGUGUUGUUGUUUUGGCGCAGCUAGCUUGGCAUGCUUUGAUUUGCAGCUUGUUGUGCUAUUCAUUGUUGAUGCAACCUGCGUUUAGCUGCAGCUUUGGAGCUUUUUGCGGUGAUGUUUUGUUGGUGUAGAAGCUUAUGGACCUGCGCCUGUCAUUGUUUUUACAGCUGGCUCCUUUAUUUUGUUUUAUUGUAAAUCAAUACAAUGUAAAGUGGAUAAUGGUUUCUAUUGUAAGGGUUUUUUGGUUAUUGGAUA
Lathyrus oleraceus (garden pea) is the source of this 1604-nucleotide long non-coding RNA. RefSeq lists it as uncharacterized. Lineage: Eukaryota; Viridiplantae; Streptophyta; Magnoliopsida; Fabales; Fabaceae. The record is from RefSeq and is a predicted model, not a curated record. The transcript is spliced from 2 exons.